RNAcentral lists this ribosomal RNA (522 nucleotides) under uncultured bacterium. RNAcentral describes it as "bacterial SSU rRNA". It matches the Rfam family "Bacterial small subunit ribosomal RNA", at positions 777 to 1297 of the family's 1533-position model. The record is from RNAcentral.
AAUAGAUACCCGGGUAGUCCACGCCGUAAACGAUGAGUGCUAAGUGUUAGAGGGUUUCCGCCCUUUAGUGCUGCAGCAAACGCAUUAAGCACUCCGCCUGGGGAGUACGGCCGCAAGGCUGAAACUCAAAGGAAUUGACGGGGGCCCGCACAAGCGGUGGAGCAUGUGGUUUAAUUCGAAGCAACGCGAAGAACCUUACCAGGUCUUGACAUCCUCUGACACUCCUAGAGAUAGGACGUUCCCCUUCGGGGGACAGAGUGACAGGUGGUGCAUGGUUGUCGUCAGCUCGUGUCGUGAGAUGUUGGGUUAAGUCCCGCAACGAGCGCAACCCUUGAUCUUAGUUGCCAGCAUUAAGUUGGGCACUCUAAGGUGACUGCCGGUGACAAACCGGAGGAAGGUGGGGAUGACGCCAAAUCAUCAUGCCCCUUAUGACCUGGGCCACACACGUGCUACAAUGGAUGGUACAAAGAGCUGCGAACCCGCGAGGGUAAGCGAAUCUCAUAAAGCCAUUCUCAGUUCGGA